Molecule: microRNA, 21 nt
Filed under: Arachis hypogaea (peanut)
Lineage: Eukaryota; Viridiplantae; Streptophyta; Magnoliopsida; Fabales; Fabaceae
Description: ahy-miR3517
Source: miRBase by way of RNAcentral
CUGACCACUGUGAUCCCGGAA